RNAcentral lists this ribosomal RNA (239 nucleotides) under uncultured bacterium. RNAcentral describes it as "partial 16S ribosomal RNA". It matches the Rfam family "Bacterial small subunit ribosomal RNA", at positions 100 to 334 of the family's 1533-position model. The record is from RNAcentral.
CCGGCACGGGUGAGUAACACGUAUCCAACCUGCCGUCUACUCUUGGCCAGCCUUCUGAAAGGAAGAUUAAUCCAGGAUGGCAUCAUGAGUUCACAUGUCCGCAUGAUUAAAGGUAUUUUCCGGUAGACGAUGGGGAUGCGUUCCAUUAGAUAGUAGGCGGGGUAACGGCCCACCAAACCUUCGAUGGAUAGGGGUUCUGAGAGGAAGGUCCCCCACAUUGGAACUGAGACACGGUCCAA